Molecule: non-coding RNA, 357 nt
Organism: Vicia faba (fava bean)
Lineage: Eukaryota; Viridiplantae; Streptophyta; Magnoliopsida; Fabales; Fabaceae
Source: the annotation of a GenBank genome assembly
AUGAAUCAAAUGAAGUUGUUUUGUGAAUUAGAAGCAACAAGAGUAAGGUGCAAAGAGCAUCCAAAUGAUAAACAAUUACCAGGCUCUCCUCAGCCUACUGAUGAUGAUUCGACAAAUCAUGGGUCUUUGGGUCAUCGUAAUAGACGCUUUCACCGGAAUGCUUCGCAUGCGGCUGGUUCGGUUUCUUGUAUGAUAAGCUUUAAUAAUGCUUUGAAUUUGAAGAAGAGUAAGUCGCUGGCUGUUGCUUCGAGGAAUAGAGUCAGGGAGAGGGAUGUUGGUGGAGGUCGGGGAAGAAAGAAAGAUGGCUUUUGGUCCAAGGUACUCAAACUUAGAAGAAAGGAAACCGAGGAAUCUUGA